Long non-coding RNA from Musa acuminata AAA Group (dessert banana), 6246 nucleotides. RefSeq lists it as uncharacterized. Lineage: Eukaryota; Viridiplantae; Streptophyta; Magnoliopsida; Zingiberales; Musaceae. The transcript has 3 exons. The record is from RefSeq and is a predicted model, not a curated record.
GUGUCAUAUCCAUAAUAUAUUUCAUGUUUCGAUGAUUAGAAAGUAUAUACCUGAUCCUUCUCAUAUCAUUAAGUAUAAGCUGAUAGAGAUCGAUAAAGAUUUAUCUUAUGUGGAAGAGGCCACUCAAUUGUUGAUAAGAAGGAAAAGAUCUAAGAAAUCGAGUUAUCCCUCUGGUUCAAGUAAUUUGGAAUCAUCAUUCUGGAGAUGAAACAACCUGACAGAUAGAGGAGGAAAUGAAAAAGGUUUAUCCCCAUCUUUUCAUCGAUAGAGGUAUGAUAAAUUUAGAGGACUAAAAUUUUCUUUUAAGGGGGGAUGUAAUAUCCCCCACUUUUAAAAAUAUAUUAAUAAGGAUUUAUAUGUAAAUUGGGGGACCUAUAUGUAAAUAUAGAAAUUACAAGGACUAAACUGCUAAGUUGCAAAAAGAAAAAAAAAAAGAAAAGGAAAAACCGAAAAUUCGGUAUUAUCCCACCGCCUCCCACGCACUUUGUUUCUUUCCAGAAACAGAGAGAGCGGUGGGGCGUGAGGAGAAGAAAAGAGGGAAAAGAAGAGAGGAGGAAGAAGAGAGGAAGAAGAGAGGAAGAAGAGGGAGAAGAGAAGAAGAUGAAGAAGAAGAAGAAGAGGAGGUGGCUGCAGCGAGGGCUGCAGCGAGAAGCUGUGGGGCGUGGGGAGAAGAAGAGAGGAAGAAGAGGGAGAAGAGAAGAAGAAGAAGAAGAAGCAGAAGAAGAAGAAGAAGAAGAAGAAGAAGAAGAAGAGAGGAUGAUAGCUGCGGCAAGGCUGCAGCGAGGAGGUGUGUGGGGUUGGGGAGGAAAGGGGAAGAGGAGAAGAAAAGAAGGAGAAGAAGAGGGAAAAGAGAGGGAAGAGGGAGAGGAGCGAGAGGUGGCAGCAGCUAGGGCUGCAGCACCUCUGUUUCCUGCAGGUGGAAACAGAGGAGAGGUGGGGCGUUCGAAGAGGAGAAGAAGAAGAAGAAGGAAGAGAAGAGGAAGAGGAAGCAGGAGAAGAGGUUGUGAUACCUCUGUUUCCUGCAGAGGAAACAGAGGAGAGGGUGUGUGUGACGUCGGGGAGAAGAAGGGGAGGAAGGAGAAGAAGAGAAGAAGAAGAAAGGAAGGAGAGGAAGAAGAGAAGGGAAAGGAGGAGCUGCGGCUGCGGCCGUGGCAGCUGCAGCUGGAAGAGAAGGAGAGGAAGAGAUGGUGAGGAAGAAGAGAAGAAGUAGAAGCGGGUGAAGAGGCGGCACCUCUGUUUCCUGCAGGAGGAAACAGAGGAAAGGAGGUGCUGUUCGUCGGGGAGAAGAAGGGGGCUGCAGCUGCGGCGAUGGCAGCUGCAGCUGGAAGAGAAGAAGAAGAGGAAGAUGAGCAGGGGAGGAGGGAGAGGUUGCGGCCGUGGCUGCGGCCGCGACUGCAGCAGUUGCAGCGGGGAGAGAAGAAGAAGAAAGGAAGGAGAAGGAAGAGGAGAAGGGAAAGAAGUAGCUGCGGCUGCGGUUGUGGCAGAUGCAGCUGUGGCAGGGAAAGAGGAAGAGAAAAAGGAAAGGAAGAAGAAGAGAAAGGGAAGGAGAGGAAGAAGAGAGGAAGAGGAGAAGGGGCUGCGGCUGCGGCGAUGGCAGCUGCAGCUAUGGCUGGGAAAGAAGAGAAGGAAAGGAAGAAGAAGAGAAAGGGAAGGAGAGGAAGAAUAGAGGAAGAGGAGAAGGGGUGGCAGCUGCGGCAGUGGCAGUUGCAGCUGGAAGAGGAGGAGGAAAUAGAGCAGGGGAGGAAGAAGAGGCUGCGAGUGUGGUGGCUGCGGCCGUGGCUGCGGCUGCGACGUUGGCUACGGUAGCUGCGGCAGCGGUGGUGGCUGCAGUAGCUGCAGUAGCUGCUUUUGGGAAAGAGAAAGAGUAGGAAUGAGAGAAGGGAAGAAGGAAAUAGUGCAGUGGAUGGGGGCUGCGGUUGUGACCGCAGUUGCGAUUGUGGCAGCGGCAGCGGCGGCGGCUAUGGCAGCUGCGUUUGGGAAAGAAAAAGAAGGAAUGAGAGUAAGAGAGAGCAGGUGACUGUGCCUCGAUGUUCGACACGUGAUGUAGUUACGAAGAAAGGUCAGCUUGUUACUCUUCGAGAUGUUUGAUUUGGGCUGAGGCAGUGGAUAGCUAUUCAGAAUGAUGGGCAAGUCUGGUUGGUUAUUACGAUAUUGUUGUAUAAGUAUGUUUUGUAUGUAAUGAAAUGUUGUCGAUGAACCGAAAUGGAUAUACUUUGUCAAAGUGUUAGGAGAUCUCUCUUAUUUGGAAUUUCUGAAUGUUAAGCCUAAUUUAUAAUGAUAUGAACUUGUGGUGAAUAGUUGGAGUUCUGAUUGUAUAAAUUAUUUAGCUUGUGGAUUUAUAAAUAUUGUUCAUGUUUGUCAAGUUGGCUUGGGUUGCCAUAAAUGUGAAUUAUUGAGUGAUGUGAUAUAUGAUUAUAAACUGCACAGGUUUUAUGGAUGUGAAUAUGAAUAGAAUGUUUUUCAGUGUCCUCAAACGUUAGUUUGGAUCCUGGAUUGGUCUGUGAUGAAAAAUUUUAAAAAUCAUGGAUAUUUUGAGGGGCGUGACAGAGGUGGUAUCAGAGCAUUGUUUGAGGAUUAAUGAAAUAUUUGAUAUGUUGACGUGCAAAAUAUAUUGAGGUCUAAUGAACUAUAGUGAUUGGUGGAAAUUUUCUUUGCUGCAUUUUAGGAAUCUGGGAUGAUGAGGACAUUUGGUCCUCCUAUAUCAUUUGUUUCUGAUUAAUUAAGGGGAAUGAAAGGAUUGAUUGGGGAUAUUGAAUCAGAGUGGCGCAGCAGAAGCAUGAUGAACCUAAUUUCAUUGGUGGUAGAAAAAUGGAUGAUGCAAAUGGAGAAGAUAUUUGAUAUACAAAAUUGUUCUGAUACUCGAAAGAUUUCUUUUGCCACGUUAUAUUGGAAGUAAAGACUUAUUAUUGACGGCAACAAUGAAAAGAAUUUCUGAAGAUCAAUGGCAAGAAUGACAAGAACAAGUUUACCAAUAAAAAUAUGAUUGGAAAUGAAUCAGUAAGUAACAACAAGAGAGUCAAGACAUUUGGAUUUGAAAUGGGAAGUCACCACAAAAGACUCAAUCAGGUGUGAAUUGCAAGUUAAAUUAUGAAACAAGUUUAUGUUUGUGCGUGACUAGAGCCUAUUUUGCUUAUGGAAAGUUUGAUCAUAAAAUAAAAGUUUGCCCUUUGAACAAGAAGAAAGAGUCACUGCCUCCUAAAUCAUCAGCCCAUGUCAGAGUGUAUGCUAUCACUGAAUAUGAUUCUAAGACUUCUGAAUUAGUGGUCGAAGGUAUUAUGUAUGUUUAUGAAAGAAUGCAAAUAUUUGUUUGAACAUGGGUUCUAUCUACGAUUUGAUUCGUAACAUAUUGCCUAUCACUUGGGUAUUCAACCUAGACCACUGUAUUAUGUGAUAUAUGUAAGUACAAUCAUUGGAGAUUCUUUGAUAAUGAACUUGAAUCUGGUCCUCUUGUCUGAUUUUUGUUGGAGAACUUGAACUUUUGCUGAUAUAGUUCUCCUAGAGAUUUGGAGUUAUGAUAUUAUACUUGGUAUGCAUUGGCUAUCUUCUUAUCAUACCAGUAUGGAUUGGUAUAUAACAAAUGAUCACUUUUUGCAUAUUUAAUCGGCCGAUCUUUUAUUUUGAGAGUAUUGGACAUUAUUUAUCUCCUUGCCUAAUGUAUCCCAGGAUGACUUGCCUGGAUUACCUCCAAAUGUGAUUUUGCUUUUGAUUUGGUCCUUGGGACAAUCCCUAUAUCUAAGCCUCUCUGCAGAAUGAUAUCAUUUGAGUAAGUGGAAUUAGAAAAACAACUACAAGGAUUAUUAAAUGAGGAUUUUAUUUGGCUUAAUAUUUUAUCAUGGGGUGCUCUGGUGUUAGUUAAAAAGAUGGUUGAACAUGGAGGCUUUGUAUUGAUUAUGGAUAGUUGAAUCAGGUGAUCAUCAAAAACGAGUAUUUUCUGAAGUAACGAUUUGCUUGAUUAAUUACAAGUGCGCAAGUAUUUUUGAAAGAUUGAUUGAAGGUCGGGUUUACCAUCUAUUGAGAAUCAAGAAGGAGAAUAUUUCGGUCACUCUUGGAAAAUUGUGUAAUUGUAUUGAAUUGAUGAAAUUAUUUAAGAGUAGGAGGAGGAAAUAAAGAAAUCAUAAUCCUCAUCUUUUCAUCGAUUGAGCUAUGACCAAUUUAGAGGACUAAAUUUUAUUUUAAGGGGGGGGAGAGUGUAAUAUCCCCACUUUUAAAAAUGUAUUAAUAAGGAUUUAUAUGUAAAUUGGGGGACCUAUAUGUAAAUAUAGAAAUUACAAGGACUAAACUGCUAAGUUGCAAAAAGAAAAAAAAAAGAAAAGGAAAAACCGAAAAUUCGGUAUUAUCCCACCGCCUCCCACGCACUCUGUUUGUUUCCAGAAACAGAGAGAGCGGUGGGGCGUGAGGAGAAGAAGAAGAGGGAAAAGAAGAGAGGAGGAAGAAGAGAGGAAGAAGAGGGAGAAGAGAAGAAGAGGAGGUGGCUGCAGCGAGGGCUGCAGCGAGAAGCUGUGGGACGUGGGGAGAAGAAGAGAGGAAGAAGAGGGAGAAGAGAAGAAGAAGAAGAAGAAGCAGAAGAAGAAGAAGAAGAAGAAGAAGAAGAAGAAGAAGAAGAAGAAGAAGAAGAAGAGAGGAUGAUAGCUGCGGCAAGGCUGCAGCGAGGAGGUGUGUGGGGUUGGGGAGGAAAGGGGAAGAGGAGAAGAAAAGAAGGAGAAGAAGAGGGAAAAGAGAGGGAAGAGGGAGAGGAGCGAGAGGUGGCAGCAGCUAGGGCUGCAGCACCUCUGUUUCCUGCAGGUGGAAACAGAGGAGAGGUGGGGCGUUCGAAGAGGAGAAGAAGAAGAAGAAGGAAGAGAAGAGGAAGAGGAAGAGGAAGCAGGAGAAGAGGUUGUGAUACCUCUGUUUCCUACAGAGGAAACAGAGGAGAGGGUGUGUGUGAUGUCGGGGAGAAGAAGGGGAGGAAGGAGAAGAAGAGAAGAAGAAGAAAGGAAGGAGAGGAAGAAGAGAAGGGAAAGGAGGAGCUGCGGCUGCGGCCGUGGCAGCUGCAGCUGGAAGAGAAGGAGAGGAAGAGAUGGUGAGGAAGAAGAGAAGAAGUAGAAGCGGGUGAAGAGGCGGCACCUCUAUUUCCUGCAGGAGGAAACAGAGGAAAGGAGGUGCUGUUCGUCGGGGAGAAGAAGGGGGCUGCAGCUGCGGCGAUGGCAGCUGCAGUUGGAAGAGAAGAAGAAGAGGAAGAUGAGCAGGGGAGGAGGGAGAGGUUGCGGCCGUGGCUGCGGCCGCGACUGCAGCAGUUGCAGCGGGGAGAGAAGAAGAAGAAAGGAAGGAGAAGGAAGAGGAGAAGGGAAAGAAGUAGCUGCGGCUGCGGUUGUGGCAGCUGCAGCUGUGGCAGGGAAAGAGGAAGAGAAAAAGGAAAGGAAGAAGAAGAGAAAGGGAAGGAGAGGAAGAAGAGAGGAAGAGGAGAAGGGGCUGCGGCUGCGGCGAUGGCAGCUGCAGCUGUGGCUGGGAAAGAAGAGAAGGAAAGGAAGAAGAAGAGAAAGGGAAGGAGAGGAAGAAGAGAGGAAGAGGAGAAGGGGUGGCAGCUGCGGCAGUGGCAGCUGCAGCUGGAAGAGGAGGAGGAAAUAGAGCAGGGGAGGAAGAAGAGGCUGCGAGUGUGGUGGCUACGGCCGUGGCUGCGACUCCGGCUGCGGCUGCGACGUUGGUUGCGGUAGCUGCGGCAGCGGUGGUGGCUGCAGUAGUUGUAGUAGCUGCUUUUGGGAAAGAGAAAGAGUAGGAACGAGAGAAGGGAAGAAGGAAAUAGUGCAGUGGAUGGGGGCUGCGGUUGUGACCGCAGUUGCGAUUGUGGCAGCGGCAGCGGCGGCGGCUGUGGCAGCUGCGUUUGGGAAAGAAAAAGAAGGAAUGAGAGUAAGAGAGAGCAGGUGACUGUGCCUCGAUGUUCGACACGUGAUGUAGUUACGAAGAAAGGUCAGCUUGUUACUCUUCGAGAUGUUUGAUUUGGGCUGAGGCAGUGGAUAGCUAUUCAGAAUGAUGGGCAAGUCUGGUUGGUUAUUACGAUAUUGUUGUAUAAGUAUGUUUUGUAUGUAAUGAAAUGUUGUCGAUGAACCGAAAUGGAUAUACCGUGUCAAAGUGUUAGGAGAUCUCUCUUAUUUGGAAUUUCUGAAUGUUAAGCCUAAUUUAUAAUGAUAUGAACUUGUGGUGAAUAGUUGGAGUUCUGAUUGUAUAAAUUAUUUAGCUUGUGGAUUUAUAAAUAUUGUUCAUGUUUGUCAA